RNAcentral lists this transfer RNA (75 nucleotides) under Acidobacteriota bacterium. Its description in RNAcentral is "Acidobacteria bacterium tRNA-His". It matches the Rfam family "tRNA". Rfam says of the family: Transfer RNA (tRNA) molecules are approximately 80 nucleotides in length. Lineage: Bacteria; Pseudomonadati; Acidobacteriota. The record is from RNAcentral.
GUGAGCGUAGCUCAAUGGUGGAGCACCGGACUGUGGCUCCGGGGGUUGUGGGUUCAAAUCCCAUCGCUCACCCCA